CGUGUGGUGUCUGGCUCAGGAUCAGAUAGCGACACGGCCUACUGACAGAGGU
This is a regulatory RNA element of Oceanimonas sp. GK1, 52 nucleotides long. It matches the Rfam family "L31-Gammaproteobacteria ribosomal protein leader". The record is from Rfam. Lineage: Bacteria; Pseudomonadati; Pseudomonadota; Gammaproteobacteria; Aeromonadales; Aeromonadaceae.